ACAAGGCAGUUUUUAUUACACUUACAGCUAUUUGAUAAUAUCGGUUCUGUUAGAGUAUUUUUAAAUUAAGCACAAUAAUAGGAUCCAUUGUUUUCACCCUGUGGUAAUUUGACUGCCACUGUUUCUAACACGAAACCAUUUACACAGGGCGACGUAGCUACAUCGGUUUGACGUGCCAAUCAAAAGCACAGCACCACACAUCCGCCGCAUUUCAUAUCUAAUCCACAAUUUAUCAAAUCAUUAAUUACAAAUGUGGGAAAUUACCGCCAGUCAAUAGCUAACUUCCUGUAGAGCUACCAGGAGUGAACUGAGGGCUAAGCCAUGUUUUAUGGCGCGUUAUUCGUAAACAAGGAAGGGCAAAAGGGCGCAUCCAAGAGAGGGAUAUGCCCUGCCGCCAGGGUUACACCGGUCAAUAAACAGCCAAUGCAGUUAACCCGGUUUGAUGUGCGAGGUCGCUAGCUACCAGUGAUUACCUUGAGGAUCGUGUUAACACAAAUUGGGAGAAAAUUAUAAGUAUAUGCGCAAAAGUAUUGUAGGGUUUAUUGUAUAUAUAUUAAGAAAGGUUUGUAGUAAUAAUAUUUUCCAUGCUCAUUUUUUUUAAAUAAAGACAUUAGGUGUUAA
Molecule: long non-coding RNA, 621 nt
Organism: Anthonomus grandis grandis
Lineage: Eukaryota; Metazoa; Arthropoda; Insecta; Coleoptera; Curculionidae
Exons: 2
Source: RefSeq, a predicted model, not a curated record